RNAcentral lists this unclassified non-coding RNA (200 nucleotides) under soil metagenome. RNAcentral describes it as "partial contains internal transcribed spacer 2 and large subunit ribosomal RNA". The record is from RNAcentral.
GAGCGUCAUUUAAACCUUCAAGCUCUGCUUGGUGUUGGGUGUCUGUCCCGCCUCGGCGCGGACUCGCCUUAAAUUCAUUGGCGGCCGGUACAUUGGCUUCGAGCGCAGCAGAAACGCGAACUCGGAGACUUUGGAUCAGCUCCCAGAAGCUAUUUUCUAUUUUUGACCUCGGAUCAGGUAGGGAUACCCGCUGAACUUAA